AAAGAAUGAAGGUAGACGGUGAGGAUAUCACUUUGUAUUAAUUAUAAUAAUAAUAACGAUGCCAUUGAUUGGAAGGUUGCAUCAAUGCACAUCUCCUUUAUUUCAUUUCCCUUCUUAAUCUUGGCAUUUUGGCUGCAUUAAUGUUCAGCGGUGAGUGACAGUCCCCUCGAAACAAGUUAAAAAAAUGGUGUCACCACUCUCUCUGUGUCUCGUUCUCUCUCCAAAGCAAAGCACGCGUCAAUGUUGGUUUGGUGGAAAACGUAGGCAAAGGCUAAGAUGACAAUGCGUCUGCUGCUGCUGCUGAUGCCAUUGCUAUCGGUGCCACAAUGGAUCCAGGACCGUCC
RNAcentral lists this long non-coding RNA (344 nucleotides) under Theobroma cacao (cacao). RNAcentral describes it as "long non-coding RNA (TCAC_LNC003656)". Lineage: Eukaryota; Viridiplantae; Streptophyta; Magnoliopsida; Malvales; Malvaceae. The record is from RNAcentral.